Molecule: long non-coding RNA, 971 nt
Organism: Ruditapes philippinarum (Manila clam)
Lineage: Eukaryota; Metazoa; Mollusca; Bivalvia; Venerida; Veneridae
Exons: 5
Source: RefSeq, a predicted model, not a curated record
AUACUAUGUCAUAUAAGAACUAUAUAGUUAAGACUGUCUACAUAUUUGACAUGGGUAUUUAGUCUACAAUGUUUACAAACUUGUCAUGUUUACAACUAAAGCUAAAUUAAUUCAACAAGCCGAUCAUUAAUUUGCGGAAAGAUAAGAUAUUAUUCACGAAACGCCAUUCCCAAUUCAUCUUGAAUUCUAGUGUUUACACAAAUGAAAAUAUUUGAUAUUUAUUCGGCUGAUUCCAUCCGGAUUUAUGUGCAGUUAUGGGGUCUGUAAGUGGACAAGCAACAAGUGGAUCUCCACCACUUAUUUAUCUAUAUACAAGUGAAAUUCCGGUAUGGUUAGAGGUGGUGUUGGGGAUAACUACAGUAACAGCUUCGUUACUAUUAUUGACAUGUCUAACACUGUGCUGUAUGCGACUGUGUGGAUGUUGGACAGGGAAUUUUUUUGGUGUUGGAGCACUAAAACGACCAAUGGAUGACACGGAUCAUAUGGGGUGCUGGUGUUGUAGACCACAUUAUGUUUCAGACAGAUCGCGUAGAUGACGGACAAAUGUUAUAUAUAAAGAGUGCAUGGAGUUGACAAAAAUCUAUCAGAAAGAAGUAACGGAGACGUACACGUCACGGACUGAUUUGAAAUUUCUAAAACUUAUAAAACACUUGUAGAUGGUUUACCUUAAUCACAGUAAUCUAGGAAAAAAGAGUUUUUUUUUAUUCAUGAUGAACCAAGUAGUUCUAUUUCUUUUAUUCGCACUAGCUGUUAAUUUAUAGUUGAAUGUGCUCGUUUACUUACUUUUAUACAUUGUAUAUACAUUUGUGUUUGUAAUUGACUCAUAUUAUGUUUGCAUAUACUUGUACAUACUUUAACGUCAUUAUUGCUUUUAAUAGAUUUUGUAAAUGUGUUUAUCAUAUACCUUUUGUCAUGUUUACUAUAUAUUGUUAUCACAAGUAAAACACUUUGAACCUACUAUAUGUAUGUUG